CCUACGGGUGGCAGCAGUGGGGAAUAUUGCACAAUGGGGGAAACCCUGAUGCAGCGACGCCGCGUGAGUGAAGAAGGAUUUCGGGUUGUAAAGCUCUGUCCGCAAGGAAGAUAAUGACGGUACCUGACCAAGAAGCCCCGGCUAACUACGUGCCAGCAGCCGCGGUAAUACGUAGGGGGCUAGCGUUAUCCGGAUUUACUGGGUGUAAAGGGAGCGUAGGCGGCAGGUCAAGUCUGGAGGGAAAGGCGGGGGCUCAACCCCCGGACAGCUAUGGAAACUGGGAGGCUGGAGUGCAGGAGAGGAGAGUGGAAUUCCUAGUGUAGCGGUGAAAUGCGUAGAUAUUAGGAGGAACACCAGUUGCGAAGGCGGCUUUCUGGACUGUAACUGACGUUGAGGCACGAAAGCGUGGGGAGCAAACAGGAUUAGAUACCCUAGUAGUC
This 440-nucleotide ribosomal RNA is filed under the name uncultured bacterium. RNAcentral's name for it is "partial 16S ribosomal RNA". It matches the Rfam family "Bacterial small subunit ribosomal RNA", at positions 338 to 795 of the family's 1533-position model. The record is from RNAcentral.